This 371-nucleotide unclassified non-coding RNA is filed under the name soil metagenome. RNAcentral describes it as "partial contains 5.8S ribosomal RNA, internal transcribed spacer 2, and large subunit ribosomal RNA". The stretch from base 1 to 120 matches the Rfam family "5.8S ribosomal RNA", at positions 35 to 154 of the family's 154-position model. The record is from RNAcentral.
GAUGAAGAACGUAGUGAAAUGCGAUAAGUAAUGUGAAUUGCAGAAUUCAGUGAAUCAUCGAAUCUUUGAACGCACAUUGCGCCCCCUGGAAUUCCGGGGGGCAUGCCUGUUCGAGCGUCUCAGGGACGAACCCUCGCGCGGGUGUACGCGCGGUCGUGGCUGCGGUGGCGUGCCCGAGGCGGCGGCCACCGCGCUGGAAUCCAUGGGCGGACGCCUGCCGCGUGGCCGAGCGUGAUAUGACGCAUUGGCGCUCGCACGCGGCGAGGCUGCCAGCCCUGGCCCGUCUGUUGGGCGGGGGAGAGCAAGACACGUGAACUCCUCGAAUCAGGUAGGGAUACCCGCUGAACUUAAGCAUAUCAAUAAGCGGAGGA